GGGAGCCGGAUGAGCCGAGAGGCUCACGUCCGGUUCUGAGAGGGGCUGGGGCUGAAAUGCCCCGGCCUACUCACC
This 75-nucleotide non-coding RNA is filed under the name Allostigmatella aurantiaca. The record is from RNAcentral. Lineage: Bacteria; Pseudomonadati; Myxococcota; Myxococcia; Myxococcales; Archangiaceae.